CCUACGGGAGACAGCAGUGAGGAAUAUUGGUCAAUGGACGAGAGUCUGAACCAGCCAAGUAGCGUGAAGGAUGACUGCCCUAUGGGUUGUAAACUUCUUUUAUAUGGGAAUAAAAUGUUCCACGUGUGGGAUUUUGUAUGUACCAUAUGAAUAAGGAUCGGCUAACUCCGUGCCAGCAGCCGCGGUAAUACGGAGGAUCCGAGCGUUAUCCGGAUUUAUUGGGUGUAAAGGGAGCGUAGGUGGAUUGUUAAGUCAGUUGUGAAAGUUUGCGGCUCAACCGUAAAAUUGCAGUUGAAACUGGCAGUCUUGAGUACAGUAGAGGUGGGCGGAAUUCGUGGUGUAGCGGUGAAAUGCUUAGAUAUCACGAAGAACUCCGAUUGCGAAGGCAGUUCACUGGACUGCAACUGACACUGAGGCUCGAAAGUGUGGGUAUCAAACAGGAUUAGAUACCCUAGUAGUC
This 460-nucleotide ribosomal RNA is filed under the name uncultured bacterium. RNAcentral's name for it is "partial 16S ribosomal RNA". It matches the Rfam family "Bacterial small subunit ribosomal RNA", at positions 338 to 795 of the family's 1533-position model. The record is from RNAcentral.